GGGGCUAUAGCUCAGUGGUAGAGCACAUGCCUUGCCUGCAUGAGGCUCAGGGUUCCAUCCCUACAAUCACC
This 71-nucleotide transfer RNA is filed under the name Heterocephalus glaber (naked mole-rat). It matches the Rfam family "tRNA". Rfam says of the family: Transfer RNA (tRNA) molecules are approximately 80 nucleotides in length. Their secondary structure includes four short double-helical elements and three loops (D, anti-codon, and T loops). The record is from Rfam by way of RNAcentral. Lineage: Eukaryota; Metazoa; Chordata; Mammalia; Rodentia; Bathyergidae.